GACGAACGCUGGCGGCGUGCUUAACACAUGCAAGUCGAACGGAAAGGCCCUGCUUUUGUGGGGUGCUCGAGUGGCGAACGGGUGAGUAACACGUGAGUAACCUGCCCUUGACUUUGGGAUAACUUCAGGAAACUGGGGCUAAUACCGGAUAGGAGCUCCUGCUGCAUGGUGGGGGUUGGAAAGUUUCGGCGGUUGGGGAUGGACUCGCGGCUUAUCAGCUUGUUGGUGAGGUAGUGGCUUACCAAGGCUUUGACGGGUAGCCGGCCUGAGAGGGUGACCGGCCACAUUGGGACUGAGAUACGGCGCAGACUCCUACGGGAGGCAGCAGUGGGGAAUAUUGCACAAUGGGCGGAAGCCUGAUGCAGCAACGCCGCGUGCGGGAUGACGGCCUUCGGGUUGUAAACCGCUUUCGCCUGUGACGAAGCGUGAGUGACGGUAAUGGGUAAAGAAGCACCGGCUAACUACGUG
This 468-nucleotide ribosomal RNA is filed under the name uncultured bacterium. RNAcentral describes it as "partial 16S ribosomal RNA". It matches the Rfam family "Bacterial small subunit ribosomal RNA", at positions 28 to 507 of the family's 1533-position model. The record is from RNAcentral.